GCUGGUGAGUGAAUGGAGCCUUUCACAGCAAGCCUAAUAGGCAUGAAUGGUUGAGUCAUUGUCCUUGUUGGCUCUCUAGUUAAUCCAGUGGCAAACAAGGUUGGAGCUGCUGCGGUUGACAUGCUCUUUAUUGCCUGUGCUUUCAGCCUAAGUGCUGUGUGUAAAGGGAUUUCAUGUUCUUGCCAGUUCGUUUUUGUUUCUUGCUGGGCUUGGAAGGAAAGUAUUUAUUAUGAGAACCUGGAACAAGUUUUACAACAACGUCAGUGGUAAAGUGUUUCUACAGUAGACCCGGUCUCAAGAUUUGUAAACCUUUUCUUUCACUGACUCAUGCACUUACUCUCAUCAAAAAGAGGUGAUCUGAGACAACCAGCAUGGCUUCACCAAGGGCAGAUCGUGCUUGACCAGUCUGAUGGCCUUCUAGGAUAGAGUGAUGUCUACUUCUGUGGAGAUAUCCAAGGCUUGGCAAGAUACCUACCUGAGUGACCUACUGUAGCAUACCUGCUGUAGCAUGGGGGCUGGACUCAAUUGACUUCAGGUCAAUUCCAACCCCUGUGGUUUUGUGAUUUUGUGAAGUUUUUAGCCUGCCAAGAGAUGCAGACCUGGGAUGAACUACAGAAGAAUAGUGCAGUGAGGUUGAGUGCAUAAGAAGAGAAAGAGUUGGCAUGAAGCUCGAUAUGAAGCAUUAAAAUGCAGCUGUCUCCAGGAACUUGAGAAGGGACUUGCUGGCUCUGCGUUUUUGCUGUUUUCC
This 748-nucleotide long non-coding RNA is filed under the name Coturnix japonica (Japanese quail). RNAcentral describes it as "lncRNA (ENSCJPG00005011787.1)". Lineage: Eukaryota; Metazoa; Chordata; Aves; Galliformes; Phasianidae. The record is from RNAcentral.